CAAUAGCGUAUAUUAAAGUUGUUGCAGUUAAAAAGCUCGUAGUUGGACUUCUGCGGGUGGCGGCCGGUCGUGCUCGAAACGGGCGUGAACUUGGCGUGCUGCCCGCAUCUUUGGGGAGAUUGUGCGUGGCAUUAAGUUGUCGUGCAUGGGAUUCUCAUCAUUUACUGUGAAAAAAUUAGAGUGUUUAAAGCAGGCCUUUGCCUUGAAUACAUUAGCAUGGAAUAAUAAGAUAGGACCGUUGUCUAUUUUGUUGGUUUACAGAUGUCGGUAAUGAUUAAUAGGGAUAGUUGGGGGUAUUCGUAUUCAGUUGUCAGAGGUGAAAUUCUUGGAUUUUCGGAAGACGCACGACUGCGAANGNAUUUACNAAGGAUGUUUNCAUUA
RNAcentral lists this ribosomal RNA (381 nucleotides) under uncultured eukaryote. RNAcentral describes it as "partial 18S ribosomal RNA". It matches the Rfam family "Eukaryotic small subunit ribosomal RNA", at positions 592 to 975 of the family's 1831-position model. The record is from RNAcentral.